GUGAAAGAGAGUUUGUUUACCAGCUUCUGUGACUUCCCUGGAGAUGGCUGGCAACAGACGGGCCUCCAGCUGAGCGGGGAGCUUUGGGGUGCUGGGCCCAGGGGCUGCCGAGGACUUGCAAAGGAGUGAGAAUAUGAUCUUAUCUGCCAGAUUGUGUUUCUUAUGUGUGUGAGUACUUCUCGCAUGGACCUGGAAAUUCCAAGUGCACGUCUGUGUUCGAUUAUAAAGAUACAGAAGAUCAGGAGGAUGUGGUGUGGUGCUCUGGAAUGGAGAGCUGCAGCCAGGGCGGGUGCCCCCGAGACCUUGGGACCCCGGUCACCACCCCCUCAGGAGCCACCGUGUUGGUGAUCCCCCCCCACCCCAUGAGCCAGGAGGAGGAAGCUCUGCAGAAGAAAUUCAACAAACUCAAGAAAAAGAAAAAGGCAUUGCUGGCUCUGAAGAAGCAAAGUAGUAGCAGCACAGCCAGCCAAGGCGGUGGGAAACGCUCACGGGGGAACAGCCUGUGGUGGACCUGGCCACCCUGCAGAGCAGGCAAAGCAGCUGAAGUCAGCAGCCUUCAGUGCCACCAAGGCUGAGACCAAGAACUGGGGCGUCAAGCGUUCUCAACCCUAGGGGGGAAGUUAAAGGGCCCUGAGAAGGGGCCAGUCCCCACUUUCCAGCCCUCCCGAUCUGCAGGAGUCGCCCAGACGCCCCCAAAGGAAAUCUGUGUAUGAGGGUUUUGUGCCUUCCAGUGAUCGGCUUCGGGACCUGGGGCCAGCGGGGCCCACAGUCGUGAGCGGACCGGGACAGGGACCGCGACGGGGACAACGAGAGGGCCCUUUCCGCAGGUCGGAUUCGUUCCCUGAACGCAGGGCCCCUCGGAAGGGGAAUACUCUAGGCGUGUGGCGAGGACUGACGCCCACCCUCCUUCGUGGGGCCCUCUCUCCCUUUGGAAACAUCAUUGACCUCUCCAUGGAGCCACCCAGAAACUGUGCCUUCGUCCCCUGUGAAAAGAUGGACACAGCAGAUCAGGCCGUUGCUGAGCUCAAGGGGACCCAGGUGGAGUCUCCAGCUCAAAGUCAGCCUCGCCCGCAAGCAGCCCAUGCUGGCCGCUGCCCCUGGCAAGUCAGUCUGGGGCUCCCUCGCUGUCCAGAAUAGCCCUAAGGGUUGCCAUCGGGACAAGAGGACCCAGACUGUCUACAGCCACGAUGUCUACAAGGGAAACCUUGUGGAUGGCUUCUAGGGAACAGAGCUGGAUUCCGUGUGCCUCACCUGUGCCAACACUGGUCUCAGUAAAACACUGAGGUGGAAGCUCACACAUCUCCCCCGCCUCUGGUUUUCCAGCACUUGGGAUUGGGGUUGAGCCUUUAAAAACAGCUGUUAGAUUUUAUCUCAGUUGUAACACAUGGCCAGUGCACGUUCCCCUCUCCCUUCUCCCAAAAGGAUCUUGAACACAGAAAAAUAUAUAAAUAAAUAAAAAUAAAAAUAGUCACUGUUAAAUGGCAACAAAAUGUAUCCCCGGUGUCUGAGCCGAUGUUAGUGCAUAAACUUUUGAGAGUUCCUGCUAAGCUGACUAUUGCAUUCGCUGAAAUAUUGCACUAACAAGAGGAAAGGCAUUCUCACAGACCAGAUACUAAAUGAAAAUCAUCCCAAAG
This 1634-nucleotide long non-coding RNA is filed under the name Canis lupus familiaris (dog). RNAcentral describes it as "lncRNA (ENSCAFG00805017187.1, ENSCAFG00845019292.1)". The record is from RNAcentral. Lineage: Eukaryota; Metazoa; Chordata; Mammalia; Carnivora; Canidae.